GGGUGCGUGGUUCAGUGGGAGAAUGCUUCCUUCACGCGGAAGAGGUCGCAGGUUCGAUCCCUGCCGCACCCA
RNAcentral lists this transfer RNA (72 nucleotides) under Thermotoga sp. RNAcentral's name for it is "tRNA-Val". It matches the Rfam family "tRNA". Rfam says of the family: Transfer RNA (tRNA) molecules are approximately 80 nucleotides in length. Their secondary structure includes four short double-helical elements and three loops (D, anti-codon, and T loops). Lineage: Bacteria; Thermotogati; Thermotogota; Thermotogae; Thermotogales; Thermotogaceae. RNAcentral also lists the same sequence under 2 other names. The record is from RNAcentral.